AUGUUAACUGUAGCAGUUUGUGCUUUUACGCUAUAAUGUCCUUACUAGGAUUCCAUAGUUUUCUCAUAUCCGGCAUCAGUAUCUCCAGAGUAUCAGCUAUUUGUAAGAAGACAUUUAUCUUCCAACUUACAGAUGCAUCUGUAUGUGGACAUAGUAUGACGGUCCAGGUUUACAUCUGUGAUCGACAUUCUGUCCUGCAGAGUGACUACUUACAAGUGCUUUUAUAAUUUGGGACCUGAAAUCAUCCAGUCUUCGAGUGAACCAGCUAUUCUCUGCUCGCCUUGGGAAAUGCUCUCUUGUGGCAUGGACACCCUUCAUCUG
Molecule: long non-coding RNA, 321 nt
Organism: Haliotis rubra (blacklip abalone)
Lineage: Eukaryota; Metazoa; Mollusca; Gastropoda; Lepetellida; Haliotidae
Exons: 3
Source: RefSeq, a predicted model, not a curated record